ACUCCUACGGGAGGCAGCAGUGGGGAAUAUUGCACAAUGGGGGAAACCCUGAUGCAGCCAUGCCGCGUGUGUGAAGAAGGCCUUGGGUUGUAAAGCACUUUCAGUAGGGAGGAAGGUAGUGUAGUUAACACCUGCAUUAUUUGUACGUUACCUACAGAAGAAGCACCGGCUAACUCCGUGCCAGCAGCCGCGGUAAUACGGAGGGUGCGAGCGUUAAUCGGAAUUACUGGGCGUAAAGCGCAUGCAGGCGGCCUGUUAAGUCAGAUGUGAAAGCCCGGGGCUUAACCUCGGAAUUGCAUUUGAAACUGGCAGGCUAGAGUCUUGUAGAGGGGUUAGAAUUUCAGGUGUAG
This 350-nucleotide ribosomal RNA is filed under the name uncultured bacterium. RNAcentral describes it as "bacterial SSU rRNA". It matches the Rfam family "Bacterial small subunit ribosomal RNA", at positions 335 to 678 of the family's 1533-position model. The record is from RNAcentral.